GUCGGUGUAGUGCAAUGGAAGUAUAUCAGAUAUUUUCCUUCUGAAGAUCCAGCGUUCGAUUCCCUGGCGCCGACC
Molecule: non-coding RNA, 75 nt
Organism: Amniculicola lignicola CBS 123094
Lineage: Eukaryota; Fungi; Ascomycota; Dothideomycetes; Pleosporales; Amniculicolaceae
Source: the annotation of a GenBank genome assembly